AUUGAACGCUGGCGGCAGGCCUAACACAUGCAAGUCGAACGGUAGCACAGAGAGCUUGCUCUCGGGUGACGAGGCGCGGACGGGUGAGUAAUGUCUGGGAAACUGCCCGAUGGAGGGGGAUAACUACUGGAAACGGUAGCUAAUACCGCAUAACGUCGCAAGACCAAAGUGGGGGACCCUCGGGCCUCACACCAUCGGAUGUGCCCAGCGGGGAUUAGCUAGUAGGUGGGGUAAUGGCUCACCUAGGCGACGAUCCCUAGCUGGUCUGAGAGGAUGACCAGCCACACUGGAACUGAGACACGGUCCAGACUCCUACGGGAGGCAGCAGUGGGGAAUAUUGCACAAUGGGCGCAAGCCUGAUGCAGCCAUGCCGCGUGUAUGAAGAAGGCCUUCGGGUUGUAAAGUACUUUCAGCGGGGAGGAAGGCGGUGAAGUUAAUAGCUUCACCGAUUGACGUUACCCGCAGAAGAAGCACCGACUAACUCCGUGCCAGCAGCCGCCGCAG
This 504-nucleotide ribosomal RNA is filed under the name uncultured bacterium. Its description in RNAcentral is "partial 16S ribosomal RNA". It matches the Rfam family "Bacterial small subunit ribosomal RNA", at positions 29 to 523 of the family's 1533-position model. The record is from RNAcentral.